AACGAACGCUGGCGGCAUGCCUAACACAUGCAAGUCGAACGAUUGCCUCCGGGUGAUAGUGGCGCACGGGUGCGUAACGCGUGGGAAUCUGCCCGUAGGUUCGGAAUAACAGCUGGAAACGGCUGCUAAUACCGGAUGAUAUCGCGAGAUCAAAGAUUUAUCGCCUGAGGAUGAGCCCGCGUUGGAUUAGGUAGUUGGUGGGGUAAAGGCCUACCAAGCCGACGAUCCAUAGCUGGUCUGAGAGGAUGAUCAGCCACACUGGGACUGAGACACGGCCCAGACUCCUACGGGAGGCAGCAGUGGGGAAUAUUGGACAAUGGGCGCAAGCCUGAUCCAGCAAUGCCGCGUGAGUGAUGAAGGCCCUAGGGUUGUAAAGCUCUUUUACCCGGGAAGAUAAUGACUGUACCGGGAGAAUAAGCCCCGGCUAACUCCGUG
RNAcentral lists this ribosomal RNA (435 nucleotides) under uncultured bacterium. RNAcentral's name for it is "partial 16S ribosomal RNA". It matches the Rfam family "Bacterial small subunit ribosomal RNA", at positions 29 to 507 of the family's 1533-position model. The record is from RNAcentral.